CAGUGGGGAAUUUUGGACAAUGGGCGAAAGCCUGAUCCAGCCAUGCCGCGUGCAGGAUGAAGGCCUUCGGGUUGUAAACUGCUUUUGUACGGAACGAAACGGCCUUUUCUAAUAAAGAGGGCUAAUGACGGUACCGUAAGAAUAAGCACCGGCUAACUACGUGCCAGCAGCCGCGGUAAUACGUAGGGUGCAAGCGUUAAUCGGAAUUACUGGGCGUAAAGCGUGCGCAGGCGGUUAUGUAAGACAGUUGUGAAAUCCCCGGGCUCAACCUGGGAACUGCAUCUGUGACUGCAUAGCUAGAGUACGGUAGAGGGGGAUGGAAUUCCGCGUGUAGCAGUGAAAUGCGUAGAUAUGCGGAGGAACACCGAUGGCGAAGGCAAUCCCCUGGACCUGUACUGACGCUCAUGCACGAAAGCGUGGGGAGCAAACAGGAUUAGAUACCCUGGUAGUCCACGCCCUAAACGAUGUCAACUGGUUGUUGGGUCUUCACUGACUCAGUAACGAAGCUAACGCG
This 514-nucleotide ribosomal RNA is filed under the name uncultured bacterium. RNAcentral's name for it is "bacterial SSU rRNA". It matches the Rfam family "Bacterial small subunit ribosomal RNA", at positions 352 to 859 of the family's 1533-position model. The record is from RNAcentral.